AUCGAAACGCAAUACGCCGCAUAGACUUCGGUCAUGACGGUAUGGCGAGCUUUCGCCGUCCACGUUUCUCUUUCUUCAAGAAGACAAAGAACCGCGUCGAUCCAGUUUAGGCUGGACCGGUUUGANCGAGAAUGGGCCCGUAGCUCAGUUGGUUAGAGCACACGCNUGAUAAGNCGUGGG
RNAcentral lists this unclassified non-coding RNA (180 nucleotides) under uncultured Rhizobiaceae bacterium. Its description in RNAcentral is "partial 16S-23S ribosomal RNA intergenic spacer". Lineage: Bacteria; Pseudomonadati; Pseudomonadota; Alphaproteobacteria; Hyphomicrobiales; Rhizobiaceae. The record is from RNAcentral.